GAGAACUUUAUUGAUGAAGAAAGGAAUGAAGGGGUAACGCCUCGAAACUUUCUCGCUGAUACUCCCUAACCUCUUGUCGGUGCAAACGGCAAGGGCGACCAUAGCUGGGUAAAGUCGUCAUAAAAACCCGAAGUGCCUCCUAGUAAGGAAACCGAAACCCAAAGGAAGAAAAAUCUGAUGGACUGGUGUAUAUGGCGGGCGGUGAUAUU
Molecule: non-coding RNA, 209 nt
Filed under: Bacillus sp. ok061
Lineage: Bacteria; Bacillati; Bacillota; Bacilli; Caryophanales; Bacillaceae
Source: RNAcentral